Long non-coding RNA from Neopelma chrysocephalum (saffron-crested tyrant-manakin), 558 nucleotides. RefSeq lists it as uncharacterized. The transcript is spliced from 3 exons. The record is from RefSeq and is a predicted model, not a curated record. Lineage: Eukaryota; Metazoa; Chordata; Aves; Passeriformes; Pipridae.
CGUGUGUCGCCGGGCACUCGUGGCUCGGGCACAGCCGCCUGGGAGCUGCGGCUGGGCGAGGGGCGAGGAGGAGACCGCCGGCUCCAUGUCGCACUGCCCUGCACCUGCGGGCACGGUCGGAUGAAGAAGGUGUGAGCUAGGCUAGAGCGGGGGGGAAGGGAGGUAAUAAUAAUAAGGCUGCCCCUUCAGAUGAUAUGUUGGGAGGAGGCUGGAACUGGAAGAGCAACUGUGACACUUGUGAUCACCAUGUGGUGAGCAGAGGAAACUCCCCUCUCUUCCACCCUCAUGUCAGGAGCCUGUGCUCAAGGAGCAAAGAUUUUUAAUCACAGAAAAACUGCCCGUGAUUUUCAAGACUUCUGCUGUUUUGCCGUUUGGAGCUGCUACACCUAGCAGAGAACCUGCCUCCCAGUGCAGUUUCUGAGCAUGUUUUCUUCUGAAGAUUUCAAGUUCUUCUCAUGUGACUUUUCUUUUUUCCCAAAAAAAUGCACUGUGGUAAAGUGCCUGGAUGCAAAUAAAUUGGUCACCAAGAUAAGGAGUAGGUAAACAUCUUCUCUUAAA